AGACAGCAGCGCGGCGCAGAAGGCAUCUCCAGCGCCCAGCGUGUCCAAGACGCGCUCUGGAGGAUAGGCGGGGGCCAAGAAGACGCCCUCAGGACCUUUUGCAGCCGCUCCUUGCUCUCCCCACGGCACCACCAAGGUCGCUCUGUAACAGGUGAAAGCAGCGUGGAUGGCUGUACCACAGGACGCCGUGCACGCCUUAUAAGAGUCGAUGCCAUCAUGCAUGGAACAAGUUAUCAAGGCUCAUGAUGAACCCUGUGCCUACUAGGCAAUGAGACACGUGGAGAAACAAGGCGAGGUACUGAAGAAUAAGUGGAAGAACCUACGUGACACUUUCCGCUCUGAACUCAAAAAAACUCAAGCUGAACGUUCAGGAGAGGAAGGUGGCAUGCCGCCUUUCCAAUCCAAUUGGCCGUGGUCCGAGCUAAUGACCUUCCUGACUCACAUAAUGACGCCACGGAAGACGAAGACUAAUGUUCAUAACAGUAAAAGAACAGCAUCGCAACAUGACGACGCACACUACGACGUACCAUUUUCACCAGCUCUUACAGAGAGAGAAAGUGUUCACCUGAUGAAACCAACCAAGCCAACUCUUCAAGACUGUAAGUUCAGAGGGUAGCGUUUCGAUGCCUCCUCCCUCACCCACCCUACACACAAACCAAAACAAGACAUCCAAGAAAUCGACAAACUCUGAGUUGCUAAAUAUAGAGAAGCAAAAGUUGAGGCUAACUGAGCAACAAAUGUCGAAAUCAGAAACGCAAGAUGACAACUAUCAUUUUGUAGUGAGUUUGCUGCCAGCAAUGCGAGAACUAUCACCAACAGCUCAGUUGAGAGCCGGGAUAAAAAUUCAGCAGGUUCUUUUGGAAGAAUUGGAACAAUCAACCACUUCCACUGCACAUUCGUUGAUGUCACCCUAUGCUCCUGGAAAUCCAGUUGAAAUCGUAAUUGCUGAAUAUCCGCAAAAUGAAAUAGUCAUUUCUGAAAUUCAACCUGAUGACAUUGUUAUUUCAAGCGACCAAGAUUCUGAA
This is an RNA transcript of Schistocerca americana (American grasshopper), 1025 nucleotides long. RefSeq lists it as uncharacterized. The record is from RefSeq and is a predicted model, not a curated record. Lineage: Eukaryota; Metazoa; Arthropoda; Insecta; Orthoptera; Acrididae. The transcript has 3 exons.